This 259-nucleotide ribosomal RNA is filed under the name uncultured bacterium. RNAcentral's name for it is "partial 16S ribosomal RNA". It matches the Rfam family "Bacterial small subunit ribosomal RNA", at positions 793 to 1055 of the family's 1533-position model. The record is from RNAcentral.
GUCCACGCCGUAAACUAUGAUGACUGGUUGUUAGCGAUAUACCGUUAGCGACUGAGUGAAAGCAUUAAGUAAUCCACCUGGGGAGUACGUCGGCAACGAUGAAACUCAAAGGAAUUGACGGGGGCCCGCACAAGCGGAGGAACAUGUGGUUUAAUUCGAUGAUACGCGAGGAACCUUACCUGGGCUCGAACGCGAAAAGAAUAUAGGGGAAACCUUAUAGCUAGCAAUAGCUUUUUGCGAGGUGCUGCAUGGUUGUCGU